AGCGCAGGCGGACCGGCAAGUUGGAAGUGAAAACUAUGGGCUCAACCCAUAAAUUGCUUUCAAAAACCUGCUGGCCUUGAGUAGUGCAGAGGUAGGUGGAAUUCCCGGUGUAGCGGUGGAAUGCGUAGAUAUCGGGAGGAACACCAGUGGCGAAGGCGAUUCUCUGGACUGUAACUGACGCUGAGGCUCGAAAGCGUGGGGAGCAAACA
Molecule: ribosomal RNA, 209 nt
Filed under: uncultured bacterium
Lineage: Bacteria
Description: partial 16S ribosomal RNA
Rfam family: Bacterial small subunit ribosomal RNA
Source: RNAcentral